UCCAGACUCCUACGGGAGGCAGCAGUGGGGAAUAUUGCACAAUGGGGGGAAACCCUGAUGCAGCGACGCCGCGUGAGUGAAGAAGUAAUUCGUUAUGUAAAGCUCUAUCAGCAGGGAAGAAAAUGACGGUACCUGAGUAAGAAGCCCCGGCUAACUACGUGCCAGCAGCCGCGGUAAUACGUAGGGGGCAAGCGUUAUCCGGAUUUACUGGGUGUAAAGGGAGCGUAGACGGCAUGGCAAGUCAGAUGUGAAAGCCCGGGGCUCAACCCCGGGACUGCAUUUGAAACUGUCAGGCUGGAGUGCAGGAGAGGUAAGUGGAAUUCCUAGCGUAGCGGUGAAAUGCGUAGAUAUUAGGAGGAACACCAGUGGCGAAGGCGGCUUACUGGACUGUAACUGACGUUGAGGCUCGAAAGCGUGGGGAGCAAACAGGAUUAGAUACCCCAGUAUAC
This 449-nucleotide ribosomal RNA is filed under the name uncultured bacterium. Its description in RNAcentral is "bacterial SSU rRNA". It matches the Rfam family "Bacterial small subunit ribosomal RNA", at positions 330 to 795 of the family's 1533-position model. The record is from RNAcentral.